UAGGGAAUAUUUGGCAAUGGAGGGAACUCUGACCCAGCCAUGCCGCGUGCAGGAUGAAGGCGUUAUGCGUUGUAAACUGCUUUUAUAUAGGAAGAAAUAGUCCUUGCGAGGAAAGUUGACGGUACUAUAUGAAUAAGCACCGGCUAACUCCGUGCCAGCAGCCGCGGUAAUACGGAGGGUGCAAGCGUUGUCCGGAUUUAUUGGGUUUAAAGGGUGCGUAGGCGGUUUAUUAAGUCAGUGGUGAAAGACGGUCGCUCAACGAUUGCAGUGCCAUUGAUACUGGUAGACUUGAGUAUGAUUGAGGUAGCUGGAAUGGAUAGUGUAGCGGUGAAAUGCAUAGAUAUUAUCCAGAACACCAAUUGCGUAGGCAAGUUACUAAGUCAUAACUGACGCUGAGGCACGAAAGUGUGGGUAUCAAACAGGAUUAGAUACCCCCGUAGUCCCUGAGCGGGCUGGCAAGGCGCAU
Molecule: ribosomal RNA, 466 nt
Filed under: uncultured bacterium
Lineage: Bacteria
Description: bacterial SSU rRNA
Rfam family: Bacterial small subunit ribosomal RNA
Source: RNAcentral